Molecule: ribosomal RNA, 163 nt
Filed under: uncultured bacterium
Lineage: Bacteria
Description: partial 16S ribosomal RNA
Rfam family: Bacterial small subunit ribosomal RNA
Source: RNAcentral
UAGGGAAUCUUCCACAAUGGACGAAAGUCUGAUGGAGCAACGCCGCGUGAUGAAGAAGGGUUUCGGCUCGUAAAACUCUGUUGUUAAAGAAGAACACGUAUGAGAGUAACUGUUCAUACGUUGACGGUAUUUAACCAGAAAGUCACGGCUAACUACGUGCCAG